UAGGGAAUCUUCGUCAAUGGGGGCAACCCUGACCGAGCAACGCCGCGUGAGUGAAGAAGGUUUUCGGAUCGUAAAGCUCUGUUGUAAGAGAAGAACGUGUGUGAGAGUGGAAAGUUCACACAGUGACGGUAACUUACCAGAAAGGGACGGCUAACUACGUGCCAGCAGCCGCGGUAAUACGUAGGUCCCGAGCGUUGUCCGGAUUUAUUGGGGGUAAAGCGAGCGCAGGCGGUUUAAUAAGUCUGAAGUUAAAGGCAGUGGCUUAACCAUUGUUCGCUUUGGAAACUGUUAAGCUUGAGUGCAGAAGGGGAGAGUGGAAUUCCAUGUGUAGCGGUGAAAUGCGUAGAUAUAUGGAGGAACACCGGUGGCGAAAGCGGCUCUCUGGUCUGUAACUGACGCUGAGGCUCGAAAGCGUGGGGAGCAAACAGG
RNAcentral lists this ribosomal RNA (429 nucleotides) under bacterium. RNAcentral describes it as "partial 16S ribosomal RNA". It matches the Rfam family "Bacterial small subunit ribosomal RNA", at positions 355 to 776 of the family's 1533-position model. The record is from RNAcentral.